CCCCUUUUUUACAAAUGACAAUGUCCCCAAGACUUCCCCAAACACUUCACCUGCACAGCCACCCUAGGAAGUCAACACCACUCUCCACCCUUAGAGAUCAGUCAGCCGAGCUUCAGAGGGGGUUACGUCAGCCUUUUUCAAACAGAACGGAAUCACAUCGCUGUUCGCUGGCUCUGCAGAUGGCUUCUUAGAUGAGGAAUUUUUUCCCUCAGAUAAUCUUAAGUGGAAGCUGAAUAUGUAAUCAGAUAAAGGCGGAGAUGUUCUGGUUGAAGGAGGAACACUUUCUACUUUAUGAUCCACACCUGCUCCCAGGACCCAGAAGCACCCCGGAAAGUCCCAAGGGACCCAAAGAAGGUUGGAAUGUAGCCUCUAGCUGGGUGGCCAUGGACUAAGCAAAAACUAUUAUAUUUCAGAGGGAUCACUGAGGUCGUCUAGGAGAAGGCGUGGAGAAAGGAUAAUAGAGGAUCUCGGACUGAACCCCACAGCACUCCGAUCCCAGAGGUUGAGGAGGUGAGGAAGAUGCAGCAAGGAAGACUCAAGGAGAGUCUGCUUCAGGCAAGCCAAGUAGAGAGAAUGUUUCAAAAAGGAGGAAGUGACAACCGUGCCAAAUCUGCUGAGAGACCCACAGACGAGGCCAUAAUAGUGACUAUUGGCGUGCAGCUGUUCCUUGGUCCCUUUGAUGAAAGCAGUCUAGUGACGCGCGAGGGAUGGGGACUGAUGAGAUUGAUUCGCGGGGGGUGUAGUCGGAGUACCGUUAGAUUAUGCUGGGUAACAACUCACCCUUGAAAUCUCAGGGGCUUAACACAACGAAUGUCUAUUUGAUGCUUAAAUUAAGCCUGCUGCGGGUCUGGUGUCUUCUAAUUAUGCCUUAUAGUAUCUACAUUCUCUAUCUUGUAGCUAUGCCAUCUAACAUAUUUCAAAGGUCACUGCAGGAAAAGAGAGAGAGAGAUCUUUUACUUACUCUUAAAUCCCCUGGACCAGAACUAGUCCUUUGACCAGAGCUAGUGGUAUGGCCCCAUCUAACUGCAAAGGUCUGUAAGUCUUCCCAGGUACCCGGAGGAGAACCAGCCCUGGAGACCUCAUGUAACUUUUACCGCAGGGAGUAAUGGAUGUGAGAGAUGGAGAGAGUGACCAGAGAGAGCUCUUCCAAGAUUUUCCAUGAGGACAGUGGCUGGAAGGGGACAAAGAGUCAAAAGAGAGUAUUUUAAAGAUGCUCAUGGACAAGGUUCAGUAGAGAGGGAGAAACUAAUGGUGCAGGAAGCCGAGAUAAACGUAGAUGUGAAGUCAGCACUUGAGCAGGCCAGAGGACGCGACUCUGAGCUGAAGAGGAAGUUUGCCUCCAGUAAGAACAGGGACCUUGCUUCUUUUUAAAAAAGAGAAGUCAGAGAGUGUGCGCAGAGGUUGGUGGUUGGUAGAAUAGGUGGUAAGGAAGAGAUGAGG
Molecule: long non-coding RNA, 1440 nt
Filed under: Equus caballus (horse)
Lineage: Eukaryota; Metazoa; Chordata; Mammalia; Perissodactyla; Equidae
Description: lncRNA (ENSECAG00000050604.1)
Source: RNAcentral